GACAGCGUAUGUAAAAACAUUUAUUGGUUGAGGACGUAUUAUAGUUGACAUGGCCUUUCUACCAGGCUUGGUGGUUAAUAUUAACAGUACAGCUUCCUACUUCCUCUACUCUUUAGUCUCAGACAUGGAGCUUCAACAUUCAACAAAAAAAAAAAAAUUGAAAUAAUCUUUACAUUUCCUUGACACACACAGGUGUGUGUGUGACGGUGUGGAAUGUGUGUGAGGGUUAAACAUGAUGAGAUGGUCAACUAUAACAAUAUACAUGAUUAAGAUCAGAUUAUGGACAGAGCAGAGCACAGAGCCAGGUUACUAUAGCCUGGGUUACACCCUAUGGGCCCUGGUCAACAGGAAGCACACCAUAUAAGGAACAGGGAACCAUUUGGGAUUCAGACAUUAUAGUUAAGCAGACAGCAUCACUCCAAAUAACCUUAGUCAGCCAAUCACAUCGCUCUAUCCCACCCACAGAAUCAAGACUGACUAACUGGCUGGUUCACCAGAUGUGAUUAAGAAACUAAACAUGAGCAUCGUAUUGGUCCAGACAAACCACAUGAUCUCAACAUGAGGACUUCCUACUCCAGAUUACCACAUUAACAACACAUAGGACCAGUUUCCUGGACACAGAUUCAGCAGUUUUGGUCCAGUAGGAUUCAUGUGAGUCCAGGAAGCCAGCCUGUAAUUAAGCAAUAAGGCACAGCCCCCCUGUAGUGCCAAUAUACCACAGCUAAGGGUUGUUCUUAGGCACGACGCAGCGUGGAGUGCCUUGACACAGCCCUUAGCCGUGGUAUAUUAGCUAUAUAAACCCCCAAGGUGCCUUAUUGCUAUUAGAAACUGGUUACCAAUGUAAUUAGAGCAGUAAAAAUUAAAUGUUUUGUCAUACCCGUGGUAUACGGUCUGAUGUACCACGGCUGUCAGCCAAUCAGCAUUCAGGGCUUGAACCACCCAGUUUGUAAUUCUCUAUAAAAGGCUGUAUUUAGUCUGUUUUACAGCAGGCUAGUGUUCUCAGGAGAAUCCAGCUGAGUUUAAACACAGCAUGCUGUUUUCUUCCAUAGUGAGUAGCAUGCCAGGGCCAGGAGCCGCUUCCAGGAGCCGCUUCCAGGAGCCGCUUCCAGGCCACUCAGUGUGUGGUGUGUUGCUCUCUCCUGCGUCUCUCCCAUUACCAUGACAUUCCUUCACACAGACACUGCCCCACUGACGGCCAUCUUUGCUUGUUCCAUCGCCAUAAGCAACAACAGCCCAGCAGAGAGAAGGAACACAGUGCACAUCAAAAAUGAUGACAUUGUACACAUGACACUGUGCACAUCAAAUUAAAAAAAGUGUAAUGAACCCAGAUGUUUUCAGUCUAAUCUAACCUACUCUCUGACAGGAUAUGUGUAAUCUAAAGAGAAUAUAGUGACAUGGAGUUGCAUCUCCUCCAGUAUGUAUGUAAGCGCUGCACAUUAGUCUUUGGCAUGGUUCAGUAUCGGAGAAGCCCAUUGGUUGAGCUGACGUUCACGCCAGACCAAUAACAGGAGAACAGAAGAUCAGGUCAAUGCUUCAUCGUCGUGGAUUAAAAACCUCGUAUUUACUUGGUUAAAUAACAUCCACAUACGUUUCCCAGUGACAUAAAGAGGGAAAUAAAAAUAAGCACAUUAAAUCUGAGUCUGAAUCGAUUUUUAAAAAAAACUGUUGAGAUUGAAAGAGAUCCACCAUAUUAUCAAUUGUAAGACUUUAAUUCUUUAAGACUUUAAAUUCUUUACGACAGUAUUAAGACAUCUAUAAACGUUCUUCAGGGCUUCAGACUUUUUCAGAGAGGCAGCUGUUCUCAUACACUCCUCAGAGUACACUACAGCUGUACCAACCCACCACAUCCACCCCAGGAGGUUAACAGACGGCCCUACCAGGACAACCCACCACAUCCACCCCAGGAGGUUAACAGACAGCCCUACCAGGACAACCCACCACAUCCACCCCAGGAGGUUAACAGACAGCCCUACCAGGACAACCCACCACAUCCACCCCAGGAGGUUAACAGACAGCCCUACCAGGACAACCCACCACAUCCACCCCAGGAGGUUAACAGACAGCCCUACCAGGACAACCCACCACAUCCACCCCAGGAGGUUAACAGACAGCCCUACCAGGACAACCCACCACAUCCACCCCAGGAGGUUAACAGACACCAUCACAUCAACCUCUCUCUUCCCCCUGUGUAGGAAGCACUGAUCAGAACCAAGAGCUUUCAGAACCAAGAGAUACAGCAGUCUAGCUAGGGAGGCCUGUCCCGUACCACUGUAGGGGCUGGAGGUCAGGGCCCUAUACCACUGUAGGGUUAGAGGUCAGAGGUUAGGAUAGUAUGUUUAAAACCAUGGUUACUUGGUUAGAUUACAGUACUGUUCAUGUUGCUCUAAACACAGUAAAAACAGAAAAUAAAUCAUUCAGAGAAAAUAAAAAAGAAAGCGCCUGAAAUGAACUGAAAAAACGAAACAAUAAGAUGUACAGCUGUAGUUCUAACAAUAGUAUAAUAAACAAUAAACAAUAAUAAUAAUAACAACAACGUGUGUAUAGAUAUGUAGGUACUAGAGAGAGCUAUUCCAGUUAUUUCUCUUCUCCUCAGAUAGAUGAUGUUACCUGCGUCUCAAAUGGAACCCUAUUCUCUAUAGGGCACGAUCACAGCCCCUAGGGCUCGGAUCAAAAGUAGUGCACUACGUAGGGAACAAGGGUGCCAUUUGGGACUCGCAGUCCCCGUCUGGUUGAGGGCGCCUUGCUCCGGGUUUUGGCACAAGACUUAACGUCCACGGUGAGAUGAGACCAGGGGAUUGGCUGAAAAUGUAUUCCAUACGGCGAGAUGAGACGACGGGACAGAUCUGGGAGACAUGACAGGCUCCGCCCCUUACUGGUCCCCCUCCACUCGCCUCUUGCGGACUGGAGAGAAGACAGGAAGAGGACAAGGAGAAGAGGACAAGGAGGAAUUGUACAGUGAGAAACUUGAUCAAAACACAGCAAACAACAUGGUGAUCAAACAAUCCUAAAACAGUCCCGUGCUGGUCAGAAGAGACAGAGGAGUCCAACCCUAUGAUUUUAAAGUGCAUACAAGCC
Long non-coding RNA from Oncorhynchus tshawytscha (Chinook salmon), 3075 nucleotides. The record is from Ensembl. Lineage: Eukaryota; Metazoa; Chordata; Actinopteri; Salmoniformes; Salmonidae.